Molecule: transfer RNA, 61 nt
Filed under: Camelus bactrianus (Bactrian camel)
Lineage: Eukaryota; Metazoa; Chordata; Mammalia; Artiodactyla; Camelidae
Also listed under: 2 other names
Rfam family: tRNA
About the family: Transfer RNA (tRNA) molecules are approximately 80 nucleotides in length. Their secondary structure includes four short double-helical elements and three loops (D, anti-codon, and T loops).
Source: Rfam by way of RNAcentral
UAUAGCUUAGUGGUAGAGUGUGUGCUUAGCAUGCUCAAGGUCCUGGGUUCAAUCCUCAGUA